UACAGAGGUCCCAAGCGUUGUUCGGAUUCAUUGGGCGUAAAGGGCGCGUAGGCGGACAGUUUAGUCAGAGGUGAAAGCCCAGGGCUCAACCUUGGAAUUGCCUUUGAUACUGGCUGUCUUGAGUUCGGGAGAGGUGAGUGGAAUGCCGAGUGUAGAGGUGAAAUUCGUAGAUAUUCGGCGGAACACCAGUGGCGAAGGCGACUCACUGGCCCGAUACUGACGCUGAGGCGCGAAAGCGUGGGGAGCAAACAGG
RNAcentral lists this ribosomal RNA (253 nucleotides) under uncultured bacterium. Its description in RNAcentral is "partial 16S ribosomal RNA". It matches the Rfam family "Bacterial small subunit ribosomal RNA", at positions 524 to 776 of the family's 1533-position model. The record is from RNAcentral.